UUACUCCUACGGGAGGCAGCAGUGGGGAAUUUUGGCAUCAAUGGGCGAAAGCCUGAUCCAGCCAUGCCGCGUGCAGGAUGAAGGCCUUCGGGUUGUAAACUGCUUUUGUACGGAACGAAAAGACUCUGGUUAAUACCUGGGGUCCAUGACGGUACCGUAAGAAUAAGCACCGGCUAACUACGUGCCAGCAGCCGCGGUAAUAA
RNAcentral lists this ribosomal RNA (203 nucleotides) under uncultured bacterium. RNAcentral describes it as "partial 16S ribosomal RNA". It matches the Rfam family "Bacterial small subunit ribosomal RNA", at positions 333 to 526 of the family's 1533-position model. The record is from RNAcentral.